GGGAGAAGGAGGGAGGAGGUACCAGCCAUGCAGGGCAGAGGGUGUCUCUGGAGUGGAGUGGACGCUCCCCUCCGCUGUGGCCCUUUCCUGAGGACUGGCCUUGACCCCUGGCAGAGGAGAGAGUCUGCAUCUGCCCAGCGUCCGAUCCGAGCCAUGACUCUCAGGGGUUGAGAGGCGGGCAAGGGGCCCCCUGCAGGGUCGGAGUGAAGAAUGCCGUUGUGUAAAAAUGGAGAACCUCACCACAGCCCAGGGCCUGUCCCCGCCUGAGUCAUGCUUGAGAGAGAGGGAGGAGAAAGCAAGAGCCCCGAAGCCCCUCGGAUUUCCAGCUGGCCGAGGCCGGCCUUGUGACAUCGCUGAAGGCAUCACCUGAUGAGCUCAGGCAGAGGCGUCUGGGGCCAGGGACACAGUCAUUGGAUUCAGAAUCCACCUUAAAGCCAGCAUGAUCUCAUGUCAAGAUCCUCAACUGAAAAUACAUCUGCAAAGCCCCUGUGACGGUGAAUCCUAUGUGUCCACUUGACUGGCCACGGGGUUCUAGGUUAGACAUCACUUCUGGUGCAUCUGUGGGAGUGUUUCUGGAUGAGAUUAGCAUUUGAAUCCUGGACUCAGUAACGCAGACUGCCCUCCCCAUUGUGGGUGGGCCUCACCCAAUCCGGUGAGGGCCUCAACAGAAUAAAUGGUGGAGGAAGGAAGAAGUCACCUCCCUUCUCCUGCCUUACUGCUGGAGCCGGGACAUCUCGUCUUCUCCAGUUCUUGGGUGGGGUUCAUACCAUCGGCUCCCUGAGUCUCAGGCCUUUGGGUUUGGACUGAACCCCACCCCCCCACUCUCCUGGGUCUCCAGCUUGCAGACGGCAGAUGGUGGACUUCUCAGCCUCUCUGAUCUCAUGGGGCAAUUCCUCAUAAUAAAUCCUACUGGUUUUGUUUCUUUGCAGAACCCUAAUGAUCAUACACCCUAUUUCCAAAUAAGGUCACAGGUGCCGGAGGUUGGGACGUGGACCUAUCUUUUGGGGGACGCUGUGCAAUGCACCCCAGGCAUGUUACCUGGGUCUUCAGCGGAGGCCGGACCGCAGCGGGCUCAGAGUGUGGGUUCUGCAACUGGG
This 1097-nucleotide long non-coding RNA is filed under the name Equus caballus (horse). RNAcentral describes it as "lncRNA (ENSECAG00000052836.1)". The record is from RNAcentral. Lineage: Eukaryota; Metazoa; Chordata; Mammalia; Perissodactyla; Equidae.